GAUUGGUAAUGCAAAAUAAACUUUAUGUCGUACAAAUAAAUGUAUAUUUUCAGUAUUUAUGUCAAACGUAAUAAGCACUCCAGUAAAUUAUUAUUAACUUCAUGACCUUAAGUUACUUGCACAAACUACUUAGAACUAGUCUUACUUGAAGUUACGUAUAUUUUAAUUCUGUUUGUUGAAGUUGGAAAAAGUGUCGUAAAGGACAGAGCCAGUUAGGAAAAAAAAAAUACUUUUCUGAUUUUACAAGUUUACAAAUAAUUAAACUUAAUUAAUAUGAAUAUUAUUAUGAAAUCCAUAAUAAUACUUUGUGUUAUAUUGUGUGCUUUAACUAGCGUUAACAGUAUUAAAUGCUGGAGUUGCAGUUCAAAUAUUGAUCCUAAGUGUGCAGAUCCCUUCGACAACAGUACGUUUCCAUUAAUGGAUUGUAACCACGAAAGGAUUUCACAUUUAUCGGACGUCAUGCUGAGUAUGUGUCACAAAAGUAAACACAAAGUUGACAAUGAAUUGGUAAUUGUUCGGGGCUGCGCAUGGAAGCAUCAAAAUGAUUCGAGCACAACAUGUCUUAUUUCAAGCAACAGGCCAAAUGAAGUACCCUUGUAUUGCGAAACCUGUGACUAUGACGGCUGCAAUGGAGCUACAACCAUCAGCAGAACUCUUGCGUUGCUAAUUGCUCCUUUCGCACCCUUGUUGUUUAAGUAACAACAUUUUCCUUGGUGUAGUAACAUCAUUGUUUCUACACUGAGUAUCUAUUUUAACUUUAUUUCUUGUCACUCAGUGUUAGAUACUAUGUUCACACAAUGUAGCUGGGAGCUGAAGUCAACUUUGGUUUUACAGGAUUAAUGACAGUCAGCAUCACUUUUGGGCCCUGUAAUGUCCCACAUAUGAUUAGCCAGGUUCACUUUAAUAUAGGUAUACAAAUAUAUAUGUCUCAAUAACAAGUCUGAUAUGUUAUGUAUUCAAAAAAGUUUUUAACAAAAAUUAAACCUAUCAAAAACUAUUUAAAAACAAAAAAUAAAUUAACAUAACAGGUACAUAUAUACUAUUAUUAUUUCUAUUUUGUCUAUUAUUUUAAUUGAACUAUUUUCAAGUACAAAAAUUUAUCUUUAUAAUUAAAUCUUGUGGUGGGCCUAAUUACUGCAACACAGAUUAUACUAAUUACUAAUGCUUUUAUUAUGAUCACUACGGUCUAAUAUGUUAUAACAGUAACAAUAUUGAUGGUCCCCAGGAACAAGUGACAAGAAAUAAUUAUUCAUAAUUUCGUUUACUUAUAUUACAUUCCAAAUAUUUUAGUUUAAAACCAAACCGAUUUUGGAAAAUAUUCUGUAGGACCAAUUUGGAGUAUAUUUCAAAUAACAAAAGAUUUUUUCAAAUCGAUUUAUACAUUACUGAGUUCUGAGAUACCUAACAUAAAAAACGUGUUGAAUUGAGAAUCUUUUUCUUCUGGGAAGUCGGUUAAACAUAAGCUCUGUGUCUAGUGACGUUCGGUGCUAUGAGACAGAGGGCGACAAUCGCUGCAAAUCUCAUCACUGGAUCCAAAUAAGUCCAAUUUACAAUUACAUCGAAAUAAAUUGUGGUAAAGUGCUAUGAUAUCUUUAAUGUAAAUGUUACAAACAGUAAAAAUACCAGAGAGUUCUCACAAGUGACUGUUACUUAUUUGUUUAGACUGUAAUUAUGUAGAUACAUUGUAAAACACAUUUUUUCAUGUUACUAAGUUCUAUUUGCGUUACGGCACAUUUUACAAGAAUAAUAAGUACCUUAAAGUGCAAAUUAGAUUUAGCUUACAGUUAUGGCGGGCCCAUUGACCCAUUGUGAUAUUAAAUGCUCACUUUUAUAAUAUACCAAAUGUUCCUGUACAUUAAACUCAUUUUGUAAAUCUUUAUUAUUUUAACGUAAUAUAAUUUCAGUGUUAAUGAAAUGUAAAUGCACAUUUUCUACUUAUAACUUCUUUUUUUCUACCGACAUCUAAUCGAUACUAUGAACUUAUUUUCUCGACUUAUGAUUUAAAAAAACGAACUAGUUUGGUGGAGGCAUCUCGAUUUAGAUUCUCAUGACAUUUAACGUUUAAGGGUAAAUAGUAAUAGCUAUUACGGGUUAAAUUAUAAUUCAUAUACAAUAAGUACUUACGUAUAUAAAAAGGACUCUCGUGCACAAGUUCAAAUGGUGCCUUUCGAAUGGUUGUGAAAAAUGAUUUAUAUACAGUAAGCAUAUAUUUUAAUCAAUAUUCGUAAUUUUUUCAUAUUUAAUGUAAAAUAUUCAACGCGCUAUCGUUGUGUUAAUAAAAAAUGACUCUUU
Manduca sexta (tobacco hornworm) is the source of this 2292-nucleotide long non-coding RNA. RefSeq lists it as uncharacterized. The record is from RefSeq and is a predicted model, not a curated record. The transcript is spliced from 3 exons. NCBI's taxonomy places the organism in Eukaryota, Metazoa, Arthropoda, Insecta, Lepidoptera, Sphingidae.